GCCAGGCGUGGUGGCUCACGCCUGUAAUCCUAGCACUUUGGGAGGCAGAGGCAGGUGGAUCACCUGAGGUCAGGAGUUUGAGACCAACCUGGCCAACAUGGUGAAACCCCGUCUCUA
RNAcentral lists this non-coding RNA (117 nucleotides) under Nomascus leucogenys (northern white-cheeked gibbon). Lineage: Eukaryota; Metazoa; Chordata; Mammalia; Primates; Hylobatidae. The record is from Rfam by way of RNAcentral.